AGAAAGGAGGUGUUCCAGCCGCACCUUCCGGUACGGCUACCUUGUUACGACUUAGCCCCAGUCACCAGUUUUACCCUAGGACGAUCCUUGCGGUUACGUACUUCAGGUACCCCCGGCUCCCAUGGCUUGACGGGCGGUGUGUACAAGGCCCGGGAACGUAUUCACCGCGCCGUGGCUGAUGCGCGAUUACUAGCGAAUCCAGCUUCACGAAGUCGGGUUGCAGACUUCGAUCCGAACUGAGAGAGGAUUUUGGGAUUAGCAUACGGUCACCCGCUAGCUGCCUUCUGUACCCCCCAUUGUAACACGUGUGUAGCCCCGGACGUAAGGGCCGUGCUGAUUUGACGUCAUCCCCACCUUCCUCACAUCUUACGACGGCAGUCUCUCCAGAGUCCUCAGCAUGACCUGUUAGUAACUGAAGAUAAGGGUUGCGCUCGUUAUGGCACUUAAGCCGACACCUCACGGCACGAGCUGACGACAACCAUGCAGCACCUUCACAGCGGUGAUUGCUCACUGACAUGUUUCCACAUCAUUCCACUGCAAUUUAAGCCCGGGUAAGGUUCCUCGCGUAUCAUCGAAUUAAACCACAUGUUCCUCCGCUUGUGCGGGCCCCCGUCAAUUCCUUUGAGUUUCACCGUUGCCGGCGUACUCCCCAGGUGGAAUACUUAAUGCUUUCGCUUGGCCGCUUACUGUAUAUCGCAAACAGCGAGUAUUCAUCGUUUACUGUGUGGACUACCAGGGUAUCUAAUCCUGUUUGAUACCCACACUUUCGAGCAUCAGUGUCAGUUGCAGUCCAGUGAGCUGCCUUCGCAAUCGGAGUUCUUCGUGAUAUCUAAGCAUUUCACCGCUACACCACGAAUUCCGCCCACCUCUACUGUACUCAAGACUGACAGUAUCAACUGCAAUUUUACGGUUGAGCCGCAAACUUUCACAACUGACUUACCAGUCCACCUACGCUCCCUUUAAACCCAAUAAAUCCGGAUAACGCUCGGAUCCUCCGUAUUACCGCGGCUGCUGGCACGGAGUUAGCCGAUCCUUAUUCAUAUAAUACAUACAAAACAGUAUACAUACUGCACUUUAUUCUUAUAUAAAAGAAGUUUACGACCCAUAGAGCCUUCAUCCUUCACGCUACUUGGCUGGUUCAGGCUAGCGCCCAUUGACCAAUAUUCCUCACUGCUGCCUCCCGUAGGAGUUUGGACCGUGUCUCAGUUCCAAUGUGGGGGACCUUCCUCUCAGAACCCCUAUCCAUCGAAGGCUUGGUGAGCCGUUACCUCACCAACAACCUAAUGGAACGCAUCCCCAUCCUUUACCGGAAUCCUUUAAUAAUGAAACCAUGCGGAAUCAUUAUGCCAUCGGGUAUUAAUCUUUCUUUCGAAAGGCUAUCCCCGAGUAAAGGGCAGGUUGGAUACGUGUUACUCACCCGUGCGCCGGUCGCCAGCAAAGAAAGCAAGCUUUCUUCCUGAUGCCCCUCGACUUGCAUGUGUUAAGCCUGUAGCUAGCGUUCAUCCUGAGCCAGGAUCAAACUCUUCAUUGUAA
RNAcentral lists this ribosomal RNA (1533 nucleotides) under Bacteroides fragilis 638R. RNAcentral describes it as "16S ribosomal RNA". The record is from RNAcentral. Lineage: Bacteria; Pseudomonadati; Bacteroidota; Bacteroidia; Bacteroidales; Bacteroidaceae.